GACGAACGCUGGCGGCGUGCUUAACACAUGCAAGUCGAACGGAAAGGCCCUGCUUUUGUGGGGUGCUCGAGUGGCGAACGGGUGCGUAACGCGUGGGAACCUGCCCUUAGGUUCGGAAUAACUCCCCGAAAGGGGUGCUAAUACCGGAUAAUGUCUUCGGACCAAAGAUUUAUCGCCUUUGGAUGGGCCCGCGUUGGAUUAGCUAGUUGGUAGGGUAAAAGCCUACCAAGGCGACGAUCCAUAGCUGGUCUGAGAGGAUGAUCAGCCACACUGGGACUGAGACACGGCCCAGACUCCUACGGGAGGCAGCAGUGGGGAAUAUUGGACAAUGGGCGAAAGCCUGAUCCAGCAAUGCCGCGUGAGUGAUGAAGGCCUUAGGGUUGUAAAGCUCUUUUACCCGGGAUGAUAAUGACAGUACCGGGAGAAUAAGCUCCGGCUAACUCCGUG
RNAcentral lists this ribosomal RNA (447 nucleotides) under uncultured bacterium. RNAcentral's name for it is "partial 16S ribosomal RNA". It matches the Rfam family "Bacterial small subunit ribosomal RNA", at positions 28 to 507 of the family's 1533-position model. The record is from RNAcentral.